CAGUGGGAGCCCUCCGGGGUGACUGCGUACCUUUUGUAUAAUGGGUCAGCGACUUACAUUCAGUGGCGAGCUUAACCGAAUAGGGGAGGCGUAGCGAAAGCGAGUCUGAACAGGGCGUUCAGUCGCUGGGUGUAGACCCGAAACCAGAUGAUCUAUCCAUGGCCAGGAUGAAGGUGCGGUAACACGCACUGGAGGUCCGAACCCACUAAUGUUGAAAAAUUAGGGGAUGAGCUGUGGAUAGGGGUGAAAGGCUAAACAAAUCUGGAAAUAGCUGGUUCUCUCCGAAAACUAUUUAGGUAGUGCCUCGUGAUACACCCUCGGGGGUAAAGCACUGUUAUGGCUAGGGGCCUAUUGCUGGUUACCAAACCAUUGCAAACUCUGAAUACCGAGGAGUGGGUUCACGGGAGACAGACAUCGGGUGCUAACGUCCGGUGUCGAGAGGGAAACAACCCAGACCGCCAGCUAAGGUCCCAAAGACGUGGUUAAGUGGAAAACGAUGUGGGAAGGCACAGACAGCUAGGAGGUUGGCUUAGAAGCAGCCACCCUUUAAAGAAAGCGUAAUAGCUCACUAGUCGAGUCGUCCUGCGCGGAAGAUGUAACGGGGCUCAAACCACGCACCGAAGCUGCGGAUACGUACUUGUACGUAUGGUAGGAGAGCGUUCGGUAAGCCUGUGAAGGUGGCUCGUAAGGGCUGCUGGAGGUAUCCGAAGUGCGAAUGCUGACAUGAGUAGCGAUAAAACGAGUGAAAAGCUCGUUCGCCGAAAGCCCAAGGUUUCCUGCGCAACGUUCAUCGGCGCAGGGUGAGUCGGCCCCUAAGGCGAGGCUGAAAAGCGUAGUCGAUGGGAAAUCGGUCAAUAUUCCGAUACCUGUCUCAAAUGCGAUGUGGGGACGGAGAAGGUUAGGUCAUCCGGGUGUUGGACGUCCCGGUUUAAGCGUGUAGGCGGAUCCCUUAGGCAAAUCCGGGGGGUCAACGUCGAGGCGUGAUGACGAGCAGACUUGUCUGCGAAGUGACUGAUACCAAGCUUCCAAGAAAAGCCACUAAGCUUCAGUUUGAGAUAGACCGUACCGCAAACCGACACAGGUGGGCAGGGUGAGAAUCCUAAGGCGCUUGAGAGAACUCGGGUGAAGGAACUCGGCAAAUUAGCACCGUAACUUCGGGAGAAGGUGCGCCCCGGUAGGUUGUAGUCCCUCGCGGACGAAGGCCGAUGGGGUUGCAGUGAAAUGGUGGCUGCGACUGUUUAAUAAAAACACAGCACUCUGCAAACACGAAAGUGGACGUAUAGGGUGUGACGCCUGCCCGGUGCCGGAAGGUUAAAUGAUGGGGUGC
Molecule: ribosomal RNA, 1327 nt
Filed under: Betaproteobacteria bacterium
Lineage: Bacteria; Pseudomonadati; Pseudomonadota; Betaproteobacteria
Description: partial 23S ribosomal RNA
Rfam family: Bacterial large subunit ribosomal RNA
Source: RNAcentral